Aquila chrysaetos chrysaetos is the source of this 4737-nucleotide long non-coding RNA. RefSeq lists it as uncharacterized. NCBI's taxonomy places the organism in Eukaryota, Metazoa, Chordata, Aves, Accipitriformes, Accipitridae. The record is from RefSeq and is a predicted model, not a curated record. The transcript is spliced from 3 exons.
CUGGUGCUUAAUUGCUGGCUGGGGUUAAACCCCGACAAUAAGAUGAAAGGUCUGUAUAAAUUUUUAGCCUUUUGCCAUAGACAGAAACAGGCCAGGAGGCAAAACUGGCAGGAGCAGGACAUUAAAUACACACACUUCCAGAGUAUCAUCAGUUACGCAACCCACGAUGGUGGGGAGGGGAAAUCCCAGCAAGUUCCUAAUCCCAGAGGCAUGUAAGGGCACAAGCAACAUGCCAGGAGAGGAACCAUCGAGGGGGGAAAAGCAAGCAACCCAAACUUUCCAUGCCACCUCUCGUGGUGCUUCCAGGAGGGGUUUUCUUUUUGGCCAGAUGCAGCUCUGUUGCAAAGCCAAGGAGUGCAAAGCUAGCAUGGAAAAAAUAGGUCAGUUUAUGACUGCUUUAGUAAAUGAGACUCAUUGCAGCCAUGAUGCUGGGGAGGAGUUUGUCCCCACCAUGCUGACCAGCUUUCCUCGCCAGUGAUGUCUUUUUGCAACGCGAUCUAUGGGCAGAUGUGACUCACAGGCAACAGGAUCCUGCCGGUACCUGCCUGCUGGUGGGAGGCUCCAGUGAGAGACUAUUGAAAGGUGGUUUGGGGGGGAAAGCAGCAAAUAAGGCAAGUCUUUUUCUUGCUGUGUUUCAAAGACAAAGCUAGAUCCUUGAGGAAGCAGAUUAGCCAAAGUAAUUUAAUAUCUAUUUCUCUUCUGCACGAAGCAGCAACUGAAAUAUAAAAUAUCGGAGGUGGUACAUACCCUCCUUCUCUUUACUCUUAGACAACUGUCUUAAAAAAGGCUGUAAAUGUUCAUCCAGCUGCUACAAUCUGAUUAGGAGUGUAAUAACCUUUGCUCAUGUGCUAGCUGCUAUUCCAGGCAGGGACACACGUAAGCUCCUUACGGAUGGGAGGGACCCGGACCCUCCCUCACCGCAGGCUGAUGCCUUCCCAAUGAGGCACUGCGUCUUUAGAAGAUAACCUGCAUGGGACACAGCUCCCAAAAAUGUGCCUUUGACCCCUCCCAGGGUUGGUGGCAUCACCCAGGUGUGCUAGAAGGUAUAUAUUUUUCUUUUAUAUAUGUAUAUAUGUAUGUUCCUGGUCUUCACCUUGUUUAUUCACGUGAGAAUGAAUCGAGCUUUUGCACCCCAUGACCUGGUUUCUAACUCACAUGCUCCACAACGAUGAGAUGAUUAAACCCAACUCAUCACAAAAUGGUCGUGCAAAUCCUCUUAGCUGAGCCGGGGAGCUGCUGAUGGGAGAAAGCUUUACCAUUGCCUGCGUGGGAGCAAGAACAAGCCAAUAAUCGCUGUCUGGUGUGAGGAGAAGCCCUGGGAGAGACAAGGCUGCUCUGAAGAUGCUCAAGAUGCUCAUGCAGAGUUGUCAUGGGCACGAUGCUCUCCGUAGUCAUCUCCAUGGCUACCUCAGCACUGAGCAGAGGGGAUGCAAGCGGUGUAGGAACGGCGUUGUUAGCUUAAAUGCUGCACGGUCUCUCUCAGCUGGUGUAAAUAAGUAAUGCUUGGGAUCAUCCAAGAGGUUUAUCUUCAGGGAUGAUGGCUGGUUUUUAGCCGGAGCUUGAAGGCAGCUGAGAUUGCAAAUGUGUUUGUUUAUGAAAAACAGAUUUGUAGCAUCUCCCCUAAAGUAUUUCUACAGUGGAUGCACUGGGGUACAAGUGCAUGAUGUACUUAGAUGAGGCUCAGGUUUUUUAACUCGCCCUUAGCCAAUGCGAUUGAAAAACCCAGAUAAUGUUCCUGCUUCUGACCCAAGAUUAUGCUAUUGGAGUGGCUACCUUAAGAAAAGAGGGCUGUGUAUAGAUAAGGAAGUUCAUAUUUCAGCAGGGUGUGGAGAAGGAAGCAUUUUGAAAUAAGGUUUUUUCCCUCAGCUAACAAUUUUUUUGUAAACAACAGUGAAGAUUAUGCACAAUAGGACCAUCUAGUUAAUACAGUCUGGAACUGAGGUGUCCUAGCGUUAGGGACUGAGCAGAGAUGCCGGAGCCGACAACUCCCCUAAAGGAUUUCUCCUUAAUUUUAUCUCCUUAACUUUUCCAAAGCAACUCCCAAUACAGUGCAAACACUGUGGCUCACAGCCUGAAUAGAGAAAGCUGGGACAAUAAAAGUCAUGGUAAAUCUGUGCAGAGGGCUUGAAUUACAGGGAAGAAGCCCACAGGCUUUUCAGGGCUUGGGGGUGCCGCGAUCUCCGUGCUACCAAGAGCAAAAAAACAGAGGUGUCAAGUACAGGCUGCAAAGCAUUUUAUCUAUCAAUGCUUCGAGGGGAUGGAGGUUAAUAGUUCAUAAGAUGAUGAACAUAAAACCUUGCUAUGAGCCCACGUGCGGGAUCAGCACCGGAGGACAAACCUCAGCUUGGGCAAUGGUGUUUUGCUCCAGUGACAGGCAAAGAGAUUUUUUUUUUCUCUCUACAAUUACCCCUAAAGCUGCGGCUCAUUAAACUAUACAACCCUAACGUGCCCUUUCCCCAGCAGCUCCAGUGACCUUGGCCCCGGGCUUGUUUUUCAGUGCAUUUCUCAGCAAGGCUCUAGGGAGGGAAUAAUGAUCAAAAUACAGAAACCAGAGGAAAUCAGUUUUGCAUUUGCAGUGGCAUGUCAGGACACGCUGUUUAUCCUGAGCCGGAGUGGACCGGGCAAAUCAUUCACACCGGGCUCGGUGCAAGGAGGCUUCCUGCAAGCAAAGCCCCAUCUGCAGCUGUUAAAUAGCAAAUAAUAAUGAGCACUAAUAUUACAACACAGUUUAUUUUUCCCAGGGUGUUUUAUUGUCCGUAUUCUGGCCUGAAACAUCUGUGCCAUCCAAAAUAUUUUUGUGGUAUCAAUAAUCCAAGGAGCUUGUCAUGUUAAAAAUAGAGGAAGCUGGAGCAAAGCCUCUGGGACUUGAUUUCUCACAAAGUGUAGCCUGUUUGGGAGCUUGGGUUCUUCUGCUAAGGAUUCAUUAGGUAAUCUGUUGCUCAAAAAAAAAAAGGAAAGUUUGACAAAAUUACAUCAACUCCUUGGCUGAGAUGAAAUGAAAUAAAGCUGAGAAUUGGUGUCUUAUUGCUCCCUCACUAAUCAUUGGAGCUCUCCUGCACAAAUAGCUUUAAAAUGAACGUUUUGGGGACUGGGAUGGGAAUGAAGUUUUGAACUGCUCUUCACGGCAGCUGUUUUGUAUUUAAGCUUUCUGAGUUGUUUUCAGAGAAUGAUGAGAAAGGCAGAUGGAGGAGGUUGCAGAUCCUUUUUCUGGAGAAAAAAGGGGGUUGGCAUCCCUUGAAAAAUGGGGAGAGAAAAAAAGAAAGGAAAUGAAAUAACAAUAGUAAACCUGGAUACUAUUUUAAGUCCAGAAAUAGGCUGAUUCUGGCAGAAUUGGCUGCUAAUACUUUUCCUGCAUUUCUCCUUAGUUCUGGGAAUAGAGAAGAACAACUUAUGUCUUGAAAUAGGUAUUGGUGGAGAACUGCACCUGGGCUGAGCAGAGGUCCUGGCUCUCCACCACAGACCCAACCCAGCAAGGGAGAGCCGACAAUUCCACUGCCCUCCAGCCCUUUGAAUUAUUGAUCUCGUAUGUAUUAAUUAUAGACACUUCUCGAGGUCAGUAGGUAGAGCACGAGGAAGGUGUGCCGGGUCAGGUGUCGCAGGAGUUGAAUUUCAAGAGAGGAGGAUUUGAGAAGGGAAGUGGUUUAAUCAAUACCAGUUUAGUUAAGUCCUUAUAAGUGCACAGAACACGGAUCCCAGACAAAUUGAGAUACCCACUUUUCGUAAAAAAAAAAAAUACCACAUCCAGGAGCUGGAAAUGAGCUAAUUUCAGUCUUUAAUUUAUCAAUACAAGUAAUCAAGCAGGGGGAAGGUGUGUCAGCCUAUGAGAGGGGGUCCCUUUGGGGAGGGAUUGGAGAUAAUCAUAAACCAUGACCUUGCUUUGGGUGAGGAAUCAUUAUCCAGCUUGCCCUCGUUUUUGGUUUGGUUUUUUUUUUCCUAAAAAAUAAAGUGCCCUUCAAUUGGUUUAGGACAAUUUUCAGGAUUAUUUGUUGGUGGUUUACUACUAACUCAGAGAUGCAACUGCUCACAUUUUUAAUCCACCUACCUCCCAGGCAGGGAACAGAGAUAUUGCAGCGGUGACGAUGCGCGUGUAUAAAACAUAUCUAUUUGGGGGUGAAUUCCUCUGUUAUUCAUUACUUACCUCUGUGCUUAGCUGCUAUUUAUUGCGACCCAGCUACAAGAAAUAACUUUAGGAAGAAGAGCCAGCUGAAUCCAGCUCGUUUGUUUGCAAACCUGUAUCAUUUUUUAAUCAAUGGAUCAGCUAAACAAAUAUUACUGCAUUUAUAUCACUUACCAUUUAAGUAGAUAAUCCCUUUGCUCUUCUGCACCACAUAGUGGGUAUUAUGUCAUUUAAAAUGUAGUACUACUGUUGAGAGCGUGUUAUAAAAAUGAGGCAGACCUUUCCCUUGUAAUUAUCUCAGAAUUUUGUGACUGUAAGCCUUCAAAAUAUACCUGGCUGGGAGCAGAAGAGUCGUGGAUGUAUUUUCUGAUUGACUCCCAGGUACCAACCUGACUUCUCCACACCCCUGCCUUUCCCCACCACCAACCUUCCUCUGACCACAAAACACUCCAUUUUAAAGCUGAUUUUUGCAGAUGACACCACCGGAGCAUUUCCAGAUGGGCUGAGGACAACCCUGGGCAUGGGGGUUCCUGCAGAAAUCCUCCUUUGGGCUUCAGCUCCCCAAAUCUCUUUUGCAAAAAGCCUUUGCAAUGCUGACCUCUGCAGGCAAAUACUGCAUA